This 28-nucleotide non-coding RNA is filed under the name Rattus norvegicus (Norway rat). Lineage: Eukaryota; Metazoa; Chordata; Mammalia; Rodentia; Muridae. The record is from RNAcentral.
UGCUCUUGGUUCAAAUCCCAUGAGGAGC